Non-coding RNA from Schistosoma margrebowiei, 48 nucleotides. The record is from Rfam. NCBI's taxonomy places the organism in Eukaryota, Metazoa, Platyhelminthes, Trematoda, Strigeidida, Schistosomatidae.
AUCCAGUAGACGAGUCCUAAAUAGGACGAAACGUUCGUCAAAUUGGAU